Molecule: ribosomal RNA, 496 nt
Filed under: uncultured bacterium
Lineage: Bacteria
Description: partial 16S ribosomal RNA
Rfam family: Bacterial small subunit ribosomal RNA
Source: RNAcentral
GAUGAACGCUGGCGGCGUGCCUAAUACAUGCAAGUCGAGCGAACAGACGAGGAGCUUGCUCCACUGACGAUAGCGGCGGACGGGUGAGUAACACGUGGGUAACCUACCUAUAAGACUGGGAUAACUUCGGGAAACCGGAGCUAAUACAGGAUCAUAUAUUGAACCGCAUGGUUCAAUAGUGAAUGACGGUUUUGCUGGCACUUAUAGAUGGCUCCGCGCCGCAUCAGCUAGUUGGUAGGGUAGCGGCUUACCAAGGCAACGAUGCGUAGCCGACCUGAGAGGGGGGUCGGUCCCACACGAUCGUAGUCACGCACGGGCCUGCCUCGGGCGGCAGCAAGCGGUAAGCUACCGUAGAGAGCGAAUGCUUGACUGAUCCACGCCACGUGAGUGAUGAACUACGGCGGUUCGUAUUGCACUGUACUUGUAAAGAACGAAUGUGCAAGUAACGAUGCACGUCUUGACGGUACCUAAUCAGAAAGCCCCGGCUAACUACGUG